Molecule: ribosomal RNA, 440 nt
Filed under: uncultured bacterium
Lineage: Bacteria
Description: partial 16S ribosomal RNA
Rfam family: Bacterial small subunit ribosomal RNA
Source: RNAcentral
CCUACGGGUGGCAGCAGUAGGGAAUAUUGCUCAAUGGGGGAAACCCUGAAGCAGCAACGCCGCGUGGAGGAUGACGGUUUUCGGAUUGGUAACUCCUUUUUUUAGAGGAGUUAAUGACGGUAUCUAACGAAUAAGCACCGGCUAACUCCGUGCCAGCAGCCGCGGUAAUACGGAGGGUGCAAGCGUUACUCGGAAUCACUGGGCGUAAAGAGCGCGUAUGCGGGAUAGCAAGUCAGAUGUGAAAUCCUAUGGCUUAACCAUAGAACUGCAUUUGAAACUGUUAUUCUAGAGUAUGGGAGAGGUAGGUGGAAUGCUUGGUGUAGGGGUAAAAUGCGUAGAGAUCAAGAGGAAUACUCAUUGCGAAGGCGACCUGCUAGAACCUAACUGACGCUGAUGCGCGAAAGCGUGGGGAGCAAACAGGAUUAGAUACCCGAGUAGUC